CCACUUGAUGAUGAAGAUCUAAUUGAGAAAAUACUUGAUAGCCUUGGUGAUGACUACAAAGAGCUUGUGCGUGCAAUUCAAGCCAGAGACAAUCCAAUUGAAUUUGAUGAACUUCAUGAAAAGUUAUUAAGUUUCGAAU
Molecule: small nucleolar RNA, 139 nt
Organism: Pistacia vera
Lineage: Eukaryota; Viridiplantae; Streptophyta; Magnoliopsida; Sapindales; Anacardiaceae
Product: small nucleolar RNA Z247
Exons: 1
Source: RefSeq, a predicted model, not a curated record